AAGGGUUUAGUUAAAAAAUAACAUAGAAAUGUCAUUUCUAAAUUACAAAAAGGUACCCCUUA
RNAcentral lists this transfer RNA (62 nucleotides) under Cycetogamasus diviortus. RNAcentral's name for it is "tRNA-Asp". The record is from RNAcentral. Lineage: Eukaryota; Metazoa; Arthropoda; Arachnida; Mesostigmata; Parasitidae.